RNAcentral lists this transfer RNA (87 nucleotides) under hydrothermal vent metagenome. RNAcentral describes it as "tRNA-Ser-GCT". It matches the Rfam family "tRNA". From Rfam's summary of the family: Transfer RNA (tRNA) molecules are approximately 80 nucleotides in length. Their secondary structure includes four short double-helical elements and three loops (D, anti-codon, and T loops). The record is from RNAcentral.
GGAGAAGUGGGAGAGUGGCUGAAUCCACGCCCCUGCUAAGGGCGCAUAGAAGCAAUUCUAUCGAGGGUUCGAACCCCUCCUUCUCCA